UUCAAAUGGCCAUAUCUUUUGAACCAAAACUCCAAAUUUGGUGGUUCUUUUUGCAAAAUGUUUCUCAUGUCAUGAAGUUUCUAAAUCAACCAUCAUAUUGCAUGAAUUUCCAACACAUGAGCAUUUGCACAUCCAAGUCAAUUUUGGAGGGAAAAUUGGAAAUUUAAAAAUGGUGCAUUGUAUGGACUUUCUACCAUUACCAUUGG
Molecule: long non-coding RNA, 206 nt
Filed under: Lathyrus oleraceus (garden pea)
Lineage: Eukaryota; Viridiplantae; Streptophyta; Magnoliopsida; Fabales; Fabaceae
Description: Pisum sativum (pea) long non-coding RNA (PSAT_LNC025667)
Source: RNAcentral